UACGUAGGGUGCGAGCGUUGUCCGGAAUUAUUGGGCGUAAAGGGCUCGUAGGCGGUUUGUCGCGUCGGGAGUGAAAUCCACUGGCUUAACUGGUGGCUUGCUUUCGAUACGGGCAGACUGGAGGUAUGCAGGGGAGAACGGAAUUCCUGGUGUAGCGGUGAAAUGCGCAGAUAUCAGGAGGAACACCGGUGGCGAAGGCGGGUCUCUGGGCAGCAACGUGACGCUGAGGAGCGAAAGCGUGGGGAGCGAACAGG
Molecule: ribosomal RNA, 254 nt
Filed under: uncultured bacterium
Lineage: Bacteria
Description: partial 16S ribosomal RNA
Rfam family: Bacterial small subunit ribosomal RNA
Source: RNAcentral